This 371-nucleotide ribosomal RNA is filed under the name Glomus sp. acp47. RNAcentral describes it as "eukaryotic LSU rRNA". Lineage: Eukaryota; Fungi; Glomeromycota; Glomeromycetes; Glomerales; Glomeraceae. The record is from RNAcentral.
UUGAAAGGGAAACGAUUGAAGUCAGUCGUACCGAUGGACAAUCAGCCUUUUGAGUGCGAUUCUGUGGGGCAUGAGGAGGAAACCCUCAUGUUUUGCAUAUUUGUGCUCUAUGGGUGUAUUUGUUCGUAUGGUGGGUUAACAUCAAUUUUGGUCGUCAUAAAAUGACGGGAGGAGUGUAGCUUUGGUCUCGUAUUGAAGUGUUAUAGCCUCUGGUAGAUGUGACGACCGGGAUUGAGGAUUGCAACGGAUACCUCUCGGGGCUACUCGCCUGAUCUCUGAUCGUUACUCUGGUGCCGGAAAGCUUGCUUAUGUCAUCAAAGUUGAUGGUCAAAAGGUUAGAACGGGUUAAAUUCGUUAAGGAUGUUGACGUA